GUCUACAGCCAUGCCACCCUGAACAUGCUCGAUCUCGUCUGAUCUGGGAAGCUAAGCAGGGUCGGGCCUGGUUAGUACUUGGAUGGAGACCACCUAGGAAGACUGGGCACGUAGGCG
Molecule: ribosomal RNA, 117 nt
Filed under: Pteropus alecto (black flying fox)
Lineage: Eukaryota; Metazoa; Chordata; Mammalia; Chiroptera; Pteropodidae
Source: RNAcentral